Long non-coding RNA from Papaver somniferum (opium poppy), 2439 nucleotides. RefSeq lists it as uncharacterized. NCBI's taxonomy places the organism in Eukaryota, Viridiplantae, Streptophyta, Magnoliopsida, Ranunculales, Papaveraceae. The record is from RefSeq and is a predicted model, not a curated record. The transcript has 5 exons.
CUCCGCCUCUUCGUCCCUCUUCCUCUCUCGAUCUCUCUACACAGUGAGAAGAUACAGAUACUCAAAAUCCUGAAAAAAACAAGAUCGAAGGAAUCUUCUUCUUCUUUUUCCUUAUUCUUCUUACGUUCUUUGUUUUUAUGCUUCUCAGAAUGAAAUUUUUUUCAUAUCAAUUAAGAAGAAAAUCUAGGGUAUCAGUCGAAGAACGAGAAGAUUCGAAUGAGGUUUGAAUGGAUCUGAAAUUGAAGAUGGGUUUGAUUCAGAUGAGGUUUUCGGUUUUGUGGAUUGUGAAAUGAAGUUGAGGAUAUGUAUCUUAUCUUACAGGAAAGAAAGAGAAGAGAUUGAUGUUGCUACUGUUAAACAGAUGAAAUUAGGAAUUAGGGUUCCUUCAUCUGUUGUUGCUGAUAAUUUGAGAGGGGUUUCGUGGAAUCAAAAUUUGUAGCUGUUAUGGUUGAAGAUCGAAGAUGGAGGUUCUAGUGUUUGCCACUGUUAAAGGAAGAACAGAUUGAUGAAGAAAUUGAGUUCAAAGAGAAAAGAAGAUGAGGUUGAAUUCAGAGGUUUGUGCUAAAGGGUUCUGCUGGAUUUGUUUUGAAUCUCAGGGUUCAUGACAGAAAACAAGAUGGGUUAUGCUGUUGCGGUAGAGAUGGGAGCAAGAAGCUAGUUAUGGAUGGGUCUGAGCUAAAACAGAUGAUGGUGACCAUGGCAAGCUGCAAUGGACUGAAAUAGAUGUAUGUGUAGGAUGCAGUUGCAGGUAGAAGCUUGUGUGUUUUGGGAGCAGAAGCUGAUGCUGUUGGUAGAAUGAGAUGUUGCAGUACAGCUGAGAUGAAAUGAGUGGUUAUUGGUGGGUUGUUGAAUGCCUGAGAUGCUGCUGCUGCGAAGAAUAGCUUAAGGAAAUGGUCGCAGUCAUGAUGAAGCUGACUUGGAAUUGCAGGUGCAAGCUGGAAUGUGAUGGCAGUUGUGGUUGAUGCUGAACUGAAGUGCAGGAAAUGGGUUGUGCAGGCAUGAAGGGAAGGUGGCAGUAAUACUGGAGGGCUGCGAAUUGAUGUCGGACUUGAAUGUUACAGGGAAGAAAUGAUGUUGGUGUUGAUGUCGUUGCUGUUAAGGCACUCAGAUGCGAGCUGAUGCUGAUUGAUUUGUGUUUGCUAAUCAUGAUUUAUCUUUUCCUCCUGCUUACUUGAUGACCUUAAUCGAACCGCUAUAAAAAUUUGUUUACAGAAUUUAAUGUUUUUGUUUUCAGAAAUUGAUGCUAGUGAUAGUGGAUUAAACACAUCAAAUAGGUGCUUCUAGAUUACAAUCUCUCCACAAGAAGAAGACGAUGAGGAGACAUCUAAAGUUCUGCUGGCUUUAGUUUUUGCUCACACUGAAAAGUACCCAGAUGAGCCACCACUUCUGCACGUGAAAAGUUUAAAAGGAAUAUCGUUAGAGCAUCUCCAGGCGUUAAAACAAAAGCUUGAGGAGGAGGUAAAUCCGUGUAUUUUCUAAAGCUAAUCCUUACCAAAAUUAUAUUGUAAAGAAACAGAUGUUCUUAAUGCCCUUAAUUGUUUCUGAUUGAACUUCUGACCUUCAUGGUUUACUUGAUUAACCUGAAGCCUAGAACCAGUUUCUAUAAAAAAACAAAUGAUUUAGGUUCUCAAUAGCUCGAUCCUGAUAAUUUUUUUCUAUUAUUUCUCUUUUCUUUUCAUAUUUGCUGAAGCUGAUUUUGUUUAUUUAUAAUGUCGUAUUAUGUGAUAAAUCGAUUUGAUCAUGCUUAUAUAUCCUAAUUAGAUGUUAGGACACUUAUGCUUACAUUGUUCUCCUAUAUUUUGUGAGUGUAACUUAUUAGGAAAAAUAUUGCUUCAUGUGCGUCUUAGUAAAACUAUAAUUGACAUGAAUGUUCCAACUAUUUAAAAUACUCCAGCUGAAAUAAAUAUAUAUUUGCAUCAUCAGUCUUUUACUGUGUUCAUCUUCUAUCAAAAACAACUGCAGUUAAAAAUGUUUGACCCACUUUUGUGUUAUUUUAGGCAUCCGAAAAUCUUGGCAUGGCUAUGAAUCUGAACUGUUGUGUGUCACAUACCAAGUAGUAGCUCUAUAUAGGGUGUGGAUAUUCUUGCUAUUUCAUUUCUGUAUGAUCUACAAUGUUGAGAGCCUGUGACCUCUCUGUAUGUUCAGUUGUUUAUGCUUGUACAUUUCAUAAAUUUGGUAGCCUUGUAGAUUUUCUGGUUUGUUUCAUGUAGUAUGGGUUGGGCAUUAUGAACUUAAAGCGAGGGAUUAUGAAGAACGUGAUGAAGAAUUCUUGGCAACUAGUGUUUGGGAAGUAUCUGCAAGCUUUGAGUAAGUUACUAUGUAGUGUAUGAGCUGAACUUAAGUAAAAAUGAUUUGGAACUUUAUGUAUUCCCUUGGAGUCUGAUACUUCACAAAAUAUAAUUUGGUACUUAUAGAAUUUGAGUUCUUUUUUGAUAUGAA